Molecule: ribosomal RNA, 442 nt
Filed under: uncultured bacterium
Lineage: Bacteria
Description: partial 16S ribosomal RNA
Rfam family: Bacterial small subunit ribosomal RNA
Source: RNAcentral
CCUACGGGAGGCUGCAGUAGGGAAUCUUUCACAAUGGGCGAAAGCCUGAUGGAGCAACGCCGCGUGCAGGAUGAAGGCCUUCGGGUUGUAAACUGCUUUUAUCAGCGAGGAAUAAGAUGGUAAUUUAUGAAUAAGAAUCGGCUACCUACGUGCCAGCAGCCGCGGCCAUACGUAGGAGGCGAGCAUUAUCCGGAGUGACUGUGUGUAAAGAGUUGCGUAGGUGGGAUAAUAAAGAGCUAGUGAAAUCUGCGGGGUCAAACAUUCAGACUGUUAGCUAAACUGUUAAGCUCGAGAGCGGUAGAGGUAACUGGAAUUUCUAGUGUAGGGGUGAAAUGCGUAGAUAUUAGGAAGAACACCAAUGGCGUAGGCAGGUUACUGGAACGGGUCUGACGCUGAGGCACGAAAGCGUAGGGAGCAAACGGGAUUAGAUACCCUAGUAGUC